GGUCAAGCUUGCAAGCUCCUUUCUGUAACUCAGCAGUCAUGGGAGUUUCUGUGUGAUGUGUUCUGCGUGACUCUACUGGGUGUUGUGAGAGGAGGUUAGUCAAGCUCAGAACUCCAAACAUAUGUCUUCGCUGGAUGCUGUGAAUUUAGCUCAAGCAAGCUCAGAACUUCACACAUGGAUUUAGUCACCUAUGAUGACGUGCAUGUGAACUUCACUCAGGAAGAGUGGGCUUUGCUGGAUCCUUCUCAGAAGAGUCUCUAUAAAGGUGUGAUGCUAGAGACCUAUAGGAAUCUCACAGCUAUAGGUUACAUUUGGGAAGAACAUACAAUUGAAGACCAUUUCCAAACUUCUAGAAGUCAUGGAAGGAGGAGGUCCCCUCGAGACCCUCAAAUAACUGGACCUGCUGGACGGGUUAAGUGGCGCCCGACAUGGGACACGAGGUAUGACCACCCUUCAGACAACGGAUUAAAGAGGUAACGCGCAGACAGAGAAACAGUGGGACAGUCCGCCAAUACUUCACUCGAGUGUCGAGGACUGACGUCUGAGAGGAUCACCAUGGACAGAUCUCUCACAACAUUGAUGAUGCUGGUCAUGACGGCGACAGCCAGGCAAGCCCAGACCUAUCAGGUUUUUAACUAUACCUGGAUUAUUCAAAAUCAGGCUGGAGACAGAGUUAACUCCAGCUCCAAGAUUGGUGCCAAGCCCCAUUGGCCCGAGUUAGAAGUAGACAUCUGUGUCCUCGCAUUGGGUGCAGAUGCCGCCUGGGGCACCCCUGAUUAUUAUAUGCCUCAAUUAACAGCAGUUAACACAGGUGAUAAAAAGACUGAUCCAGGUUGCAGCAGUGAUAUACGUCGUACUGCCCUGGCCUUACACACUGGAGGUAUAUAUGUCUGUCCAGGAACUCAUCGAGAUAGAUCUCUAAAUUAUAAAUGUGGCUAUGAAAAUGAUUUUUACUGCGCCUCGUGGGGCUGUGAAACCACUGGAGAUACCUAUUGGACUCCAUCCUCCUCUUGGGAUUAUAUCACAGUUAAACGACUUCACCCCAACUCCAAAGUCACCUCCCCUAGAAAACAACCUCUUAAUAGCUAUUUUUCCCCCAAUUCUUCGAGACAAGGGUGGUGCAACCCAUUACAAAUUGGCUUUACAACAGCCGCAAGGACUGCUGACUGGACCAAGAGAGAAUUCUCUUGGGGGUUGCGCAUAUAUAAAGAGGGCACAGAUUGGGGAUUGACAUUCAAGAUUCAACUACAAAAAGAAAUCCCCAACAAACAUAAAGCAUCUAUAGGACCUAACCCCCAAUUACAUCACCCUAAUUCCCCAAACAAUCCCCGACUUCCAGGUACCAGCCCUCCUUUUCCUGCCCUAGGGCAUACUACAACCCUAUUUCAGCCCACUAUCCCUGCGGGGGGGGCCCCCCUUCUUCCACUGAUUUAUUGUGGUCUAUAUUGAAUGCUUCUGCUUUAGCCUUGUUAGAUAAAACACAAAGAGAUAAUACGUCAGAAUUUGAAGAUUGUUGGAUGUGCUUUUCUGCUUCCCCAUCCUUUUAUGAGGGCAUAGCCUUAUUUGGAAAUUUUACCCUGCUUUCAGAUGCUAGGCAGCUUCCCUUUGAGUCAGUUCAGCUUACCCUGACAAAACUCUCUGGGAAAGGAGGUUGUGUGUUGGGCCCAGACAUGCUUCCGCUGUGGCCCUUGCUAGAAAUUUGCAAUAACAUGUUUAGAGGAAAUAAAAAUAGGUAUUCUUAUCUUCUUGCCCCAAAUGAUACCUUUUUUGGCAUGUUCCACAGGCCUUACAUGGUACAUUAUUAUACAAGAUUUUAUAAAUAAUAGAGAUUAUUGUGUCUUGGUUCAGCUUUUUCCAAAUUUUAGUAUUCAUAAGACAGAUGACUUAUUAACGUUUUGGGACCAAGGGGCCUCCUUGCUAUCCCACCACAAAAGAGAGCCUAUCUCGGCGGUGAGCCUUGCGGUCCUUCUUGGCCUGGGUGCUGCUGGGACCGUGACCGGAAUCGCAGCCCUUGUGUCAUCUCAACAGAAUGCGUGCAAUUACCAUCUGCUCAAUGAGGCUAUUAACCAAGAUAUAGAAAAUAUAAAAAAGGGCCUAGGUGAUCUUACUGAUUCCUUGGUCUCCCUUUCAGAAGUUGCCCUUCAAAAUAGAAGGGGAUUAGAUUUGCUCUUUCUACAACAAGGAGGCUUAUGCGCUGCACUUAAAGAAGAAUGCUGUGUAUAUGUUGAUAAAACUGGAUUAGUUAAAGAUAGCAUUGCCAAGGUUACUGCCAGUUUAGAAAAAAGAAAAAGAGAGAGAGAACAACAAGAGUCAUGGUAUCAAAAUUUGUUUUCAACCUCCCCCUGGCUUUCGACCUUGUUGUUCUCCCUUUUGGGGCCCCUAUUGGGACUCCUAUUAUUGAUUUCCUUUGGUCCUUGGGCAUUUCAAAAAUUGACCCGAUUUGUUAAAUCUCAAAUUGAUUCAUCUCUUUCAAGUGCAUUUGUUUCAGUUCAUUACCAUCGGCUGGACAUUGGUGAUAACAAGCAGGUUACUAGAGAAGAGGCAGACGUGGAUGCCGCUUCAUCACCCUCAUCUCGGGGAGAGAGACUCAAUUUCCAUAAAAUGCUUAAGUAAGAUCAUUCCCCUUCCCCUAAAUUCGGCCAUCAGUCUCAUGCCACGAAUCAUUUAUAGAUUGCCAUAGUCUGUGCUUCCGACAUGGUAAUAUACAUUCUCGCCACAUUGGAAACUAAACAGUCAUCCCAGGCUAGACACAUCAAAAAAAUGGAACUUGAAGUCGUAUGUAUGAAGGUUGAGUGCCCUAGGGUCCUUCUCCCAGGAAAAACGGCAUGGGAGCAGGUCAGGGUUACUCUGGGUAGAAAUCUGUGGGCCUAAGAGUCAAUCCUGUACAUGACCUCUAACAUUGCACACUGGGUAUCAGACCUCUACCUCUACCCACAGAGCUUGCUUCAUUCCUAAAUCCCUUGGCUGGUCCAAGUUAUACCCAACAGACUGGGAACAUUAAUUCAAGCCUCAUAGAUGACUUUUCCUUGUGUCCUUCAUGGUUUUAGAAAUUCACCGGGUGAGCAAACAGAAGUUUAGGUGAUCGUUAAAAACAUGGCUACAAAUUUAUUAUACAAUAUGCCUUCAUAAAAAUAUUAAAAUGGGGGAGAUGUUGGGAGCUAUUAAGACAACUCUUGAUCUCUAAAUUCGGCCUCUCCUACCGAGAAGAAAAAAGGGGUCAAGCGGGCCACCGACACAUGGAUUCCGAGAACCACCACGGGAUGUACCAGCCCUAAGUCAUCUCCGAUGCCCUGACCCCACCCUGAUACCACCAAGUUCCUGCUUCCCCGUGUAGCUGCCAAAAGAAAGAAUUUCUAUUGCCCCCCCUCCCAUAAGUACUUCUCCUUUUGCUUGUAUUGCCAUACCCCUCCCACUGAUAAGUAUCUGUACUUCCCCUUUUGCUUGUGCAUUUAAACCUGGGGCCUGACUAAUACAUUUGGGGCUUUGAUGCAUUCCAGAACAUUUCCAUGCCGUUAUUCGCACAAGGCCCUCGUCCCUCUCUAACCCCCAUUUGGUUCUUAGGAGGAGGUCCCCUCGAGACCCUCAAAUAACUGGACCUGCUAGAUGGGUCAAGAGGCAAUGAACACUGGAUGUGGAAAUGAAGGCCAUUAGUUGAAGAGUAUUUAGAACAGCUAGUAGGAGGGGAAAGGGCCCUUCCCUCUGGAAAGUCAAUUGAGGAAGUUAAGCUGGGUUCUUUCUCUGCCUCUGGUCUUGAAGGCAUUCACAACUUCAUCAGCCUCCUCAGUCUUCAUUGGUAAAACUGAAUGUCUGGGAAGUUGUUGUUGUUGUUGUUUUUAACAAAACAAAACCAAAGAAUCAUAAUGGCAGAAAAUGUGGCAAUCAGUAGGUUGCAUGGAGUUGCCUUAGUAGGUAGACAUUACAUCCUGAUCUAGUAUCAGAGUAGAAAAGAAGGACAAGGUAGAAAAAAAACACUCAGAUUGGCUGGGUUUAGGAAAUCCUCAAAGUCUGCCUGCCACCACUGACAUACCUCCUCUAACAGGGCCACAUCCCCAAUCCUUCCUAAAUUUCCCACCAUCUAGGGACCAAGUAUUCAAACAUAUAAGUGUAUUGCAAGGAUUCUCAUUCAAAACCCCAUGAGGUCCUUAUGCUAAGUGAAAUGAGCCAGCCACUAAAUGAACAACAAACAGUUCUUGAUCCUUAGAGCUAGCAAAUAUACAGAUUUGGAGUCAAGAAUAGGAGACAAAAAAUUGGGUGAGUAAUGAAAAUUUAAUGUUUCCAUAAACACAAAGGAUGAGUUUGAAAUAUCAAUGAUGCUCUGUAGAUGGCCUGUGGGGUUUGUACAUCAUUUUCUUAACACUACUGAACUGGGUACUUGAAUGUGGUAAGAUGGUAAAACAUAGAUAGCCUCUAAAUCACAAAUAGAAUCAUGCUGAUUGAGGAGACCAGACUUUGCUCCACACAGAGAGGGCACACAGCCCCGAAGCGCACACAGCUUUGGGUGAGUCCCUGGACCUGUCUCUUUGAGAAAGAUGUGUAGAAUGAUGUUUUGCCCAUGGAGAUGCAAGUGGACCAGGCUGUAAAUAGCUCAGAUGGCAAAGAACAUACUUUGUGUGAUGGUUUGAAAAUGCUCAUCCAGGGUGUAGAAUUAUUAGAAAGUAUGGCCCUGUUGAAGUACAGGUUGCCUUAUUGGAAUAGUUGUAUCACUAUAGGUAUGGGCAGUAAGAUCACCAUCCUCGCUGCCUGGAAGCCAGUAUUCCACUAUCAGCAUGCAGAUGAAGAUGUAGAACUCUCAUCUCCUCUGGUACCAUACCAGCCUGGAUGCUGCCACGUUCCUCUUUUGAAGAUAAUGGACUCAAACUCUGAAUCUUUAAGUCAACUCCAAUUCAUUGAUGUCCUUUAUAAGAUUUUCCUUGAUCAUGGUGUCCAUUUGCAACAGUAAAAUCAUAAGAUACAUUGUAAGCAUGAAGACUUGAGUUGACCCCAAGCAUCACUUAGAAGAGUGUGACCCCAGACAAAUAUCUCAGUCUGCAAGUUGGUUUAGGUCAACUUGUUUCUAGAUAAACUACUGGUUGAAUAACUGGUUGAAUAAUUGUGAAUUAGAAGCUGUGAGAAAUAAAUAUUCUGCUUGUCAAUAAAUGAUAUUAGAGAAUUCAACAAUAUAUAAAGAGGUGCACCAUUU
Molecule: RNA transcript, 5179 nt
Organism: Mus musculus (house mouse)
Lineage: Eukaryota; Metazoa; Chordata; Mammalia; Rodentia; Muridae
Gene name: RIKEN cDNA 2210418O10 gene
Exons: 6
Source: RefSeq, marked validated